Molecule: ribosomal RNA, 393 nt
Filed under: uncultured bacterium
Lineage: Bacteria
Description: partial 16S ribosomal RNA
Rfam family: Bacterial small subunit ribosomal RNA
Source: RNAcentral
AUACGUAGGUGACAAGCGUUAUCUGGAUUUAUUGGGUUUAAAGGGUGCGUAGACUGUUCGGAAAGUCAGGGGUGAAAGCCCGGCGCCUAACGCCGGAACUGCCUUUGAUACUUCCGAGCUGGAAUACGGAUGCCGUGGGAGGAAUGAGUAGUGUAGCGGUGAAAUGCAUAGAUAUUACUCAGAACACCGAUUGCGAAGGCAUCUCACGAAUCCGUCAUUGACGCUGAGGCACGAAAGCGUGGGGAUCAAACAGGAUUAGAUACCCUGGUAGUCCACGCAGUAAACGAUGAUGACUAACCGUCGGCGAUACACAGUCGGUGGCCAAGCGAAAGCGAUAAGUCAUCCACCUGGGGAGUACGUUCGCAAGAAUGAAACUCAAAGGAAUUGACGGGG